GAGUGAUAAACGCAGACAAUACUCAGCGAUUAGAGAAGGAUUUGAGUGGUUGUUAUAUAAGCUGUGUCUCAUUUAGAAGGCUGCACCCUCCGGAGGUCGAAUCCUCUGGAGGUCGCAUCCUCUGUAGGAUGCAUAUACGAAGUGUCCUCAACCUAGAAUUAAACGAGACGGCCUUCGUAGGACAGGCGAAAAAGGAAACCAGAAGUAUCGCGUUGCUAUGCCAACACAUUUAGAGCAUCGUUGCGCUCUCACACUGCUUAAAUGAAGGAAAAUUAUUUCUAAAUUUGGAAAGUAAUUUGAAAAAAAAAUGCUUUUACUUGUUAUAUUUUGUUCAAUGUUUGAGGAGCUGCAGCGUACGUACAGCAGGCAUCUAUUAGAGAAAAAAAGGAGGAGGAUAUUAAAAACAAGUUUAUCCGUUUUUACCGAGGCGAAUUAAGGUAAGUUGUAAACACAUAUGCGCUUGUGUGUACGUUGCAUCUGCCGGCACCGGCCUUUUUCAAAUGAACAACGGUUGUUCACGGCGACGCAAAGAAUUGUGGGUUAUCUUUAGCAGUGAAGGAUACACCUCAUGCAUCCUCCGAAAUCCUGUGAAAGAAGGUCGCAUUCGAAGGUCGCAUUCGGAGUGUCCUACUUGCUUUUCUGAAAUGAGACAGCCUCGAUGACGUAUGCAGCCUUCGAAUGCGACCUCCGGAGGACGACGCAGCCUUCUUCACAGCUACAGUGUGUGUGUGAUUGGCUGCAGGUGAGACCAAUCAUUGCAAUGGAGCAUGGGAAAUGUAGUCCAGGGUGACGUGCAACAGUUUAUGUGGUGUGAGAGACAAUGUAAUCAGAAGGUGACCUCUGGUGGCGAGCAGGCGGAAGACCCCGGACCGGAUUCGUGACACGAUGAUCUUGAUGGGGGUCGUAUCUCAAUACCUGCUUACUCGGCUGGUGAGUUUUUCUUUGGGAGAUGAGGGUGUGGAUACUGUUGAAGAGGCUCUUUCAUGGAUUCCACUUCUCAUUGAUUUUUAUCGGCUGUCCAGAGCUGAGGUGAUUUUAGAGGUCCGUACUAACAAAGUCAGCCUGAGAGACAGAAACAACCAGCUGUGUCCUCUCUUUUCUGCGACUGCAUAAACUCAGAGCUGCACCCAGAAGAAGCCAACCAUGUGUUUCUUCAGCUGCGCAUCUGUCAAAGUGAGAUGAGCUUCAUUGCAGCAAUCACUGUUAAUUCCUGAUUCAGA
RNAcentral lists this long non-coding RNA (1220 nucleotides) under Sinocyclocheilus grahami. RNAcentral's name for it is "lncRNA (ENSSGRG00000033473.1)". The record is from RNAcentral. Lineage: Eukaryota; Metazoa; Chordata; Actinopteri; Cypriniformes; Cyprinidae.